UGUAGUUUCCUUCGGCUCUCUUUUCUUGUCUCUCCAUAGUCACUUCUUUUACAUAUAAAUUUGAGGUACUUGUGUAAGGAAUUUGAGGGGGCUUUGGGAAUAAAAGUUGUUCCUGUGAACUUGGACUUCCUUUUGAUAUAAAGGUUGCAAAUAUUUUCUCACUGUUUGGGUUUCAAAAGGGGGUUUUAAAGAGGAAAGGUGGUGCUUGUAUUUUAAAGGGUGUUCUUCAUUUUCUUCUAAAUUUUGUGGCUUUAAUCCUUCCUUGGUGUGGCUUUUGGGUAGUCUAGCAAGAUCUAAGGCUCCUUUUGAGAAAAUUUUGAGGCGAUUCCAUUUCGGUGGUAAUUGGGAUUUUCAUUCCAAUUGAGGUCGGGGUUGUCCUAAAGUCCACAACCUUUGUUUCUUGUGGAUUUUCAUUCCAACUGAGGAACUCUCCCAUGCAUGCGUGAGCUGAAAUUCUAUGCCGUAAAUCUCAGCUGCUCACAAGCUAUUGUUGUUCACCACCCCCCUUCAGGAUGUAAUGGACCUGGGUAUGUGGCCUAUGGUAAACCCUUAUCUGUUUAGCCACAAAUGAUAGAUGAGGUUUGUGGGAAGGCUCACAUAUGGGCCUUAAGAUCGGCCUGCAGAACCAAAUUGAGGUUGUUUGCUUCAUUUUUACCUUCCAAGGACUAGUUACAUCACUGAUCUUUCUUUAGGGAUAUCUAGGCGCUGAAAACCUUCUCUUUGCGACGUGUUUUUUUUUUUUUUCUCUUGCAGGUCAUGGACUGGGUUUUAGGACUCUCUUGUACCCUAACAUGUAAGGGCAUUCAGGGUUUAGAGUGUGGAUUGAGAAAAAACUGAAAGCCACAGUUUGGAGACUGAGAGAGGGGGUUUUGGAGGCUGAAACUUGUAAUCUCUUAUUUUUUCGUAUGGUAAAAUCUUUCAUUGGAUUUUCACCAUGGACGUUGGCUUUACAUCAAACCACUUUAAUUCUUGUGUUAUUUGUGUGGUGUGUGUUUACUUUUUUGUUUCUUGCUUGUGUUCUUGGUUCAUGGCGUUUGUCGUAGCAGCUACCAACAAUACGAUAAGCAGCCAACACUGGAGGGCAUAGCCCACGAACAAAAUCAAAUGGACAAUACUUUUUGUGCCAUUCCACAAGUAAAAAGAAACUUAGCCACAUACAAAGGGCAAAAAAAAAAAAAAAAAAACUGGGAUAAACCAAACAAAUGAACCAAGCAACAUCCUGAGGAAUGACAUCAUCCAAACAGUCAACUUAUGGUUGGAUAUUUCUAGACAAAAUCCACACAUGUAGGAAAAACCUGGUGUUAUGCUUUCAUAUAAUUGAUUGCUAUAUAACAAGUUUAC
This is a long non-coding RNA of Cornus florida, 1341 nucleotides long. RefSeq lists it as uncharacterized. The transcript is spliced from 3 exons. Lineage: Eukaryota; Viridiplantae; Streptophyta; Magnoliopsida; Cornales; Cornaceae. The record is from RefSeq and is a predicted model, not a curated record.